This 123-nucleotide transfer RNA is filed under the name Thermoplasmatota archaeon. RNAcentral describes it as "Candidatus Thermoplasmatota archaeon (groundwater metagenome) tRNA-Met". Lineage: Archaea; Methanobacteriati; Thermoplasmatota. The record is from RNAcentral.
AGCGGGGUGGGGUAGUCAGGAAAUCUUUCGGAAUCUGAGAUUCCUCAGAUUUCAGGUAAGACCUGAAAUCCCGACGGGCUCAUAACCCGUAGAUCAGUAGUUCAAAUCUACUCCCCGCUACCA